CAUCCAUAAUAGAUAUAGCUUACUUAAAGCGCCUAACUGUUAAUUAGCUGAAACGUCCUGUUGUCU
This 66-nucleotide transfer RNA is filed under the name Cepaea hortensis. RNAcentral describes it as "partial tRNA-Leu". Lineage: Eukaryota; Metazoa; Mollusca; Gastropoda; Stylommatophora; Helicidae. The record is from RNAcentral.